GUGUGCACAUGUUAAUGUAAGUGGCCAUGAUGAGUGGUAGCAGUUGAUGGCUAGACACGAUUUCCCAAGGGCUAUAAAACGUGAUGAUUGCCUAAGGAUCCUCACGUGGGUUCUAAAGCGAGGUUUUGCUAAAGUAGUCAUCAUUACGGUGUCGUCAUAGCAGAGGAAACGUUGUGUGAUGUCGAAUUAAGUUUGUCAAGAAACAAAAAAAAUACCUUUUUCUUCUAUAGAUCAAAAAGAGGCAUUGUUUGGGGGGCAAUUUG
This 263-nucleotide long non-coding RNA is filed under the name Lathyrus oleraceus (garden pea). RNAcentral describes it as "Pisum sativum (pea) long non-coding RNA (PSAT_LNC015076)". Lineage: Eukaryota; Viridiplantae; Streptophyta; Magnoliopsida; Fabales; Fabaceae. The record is from RNAcentral.